This 504-nucleotide ribosomal RNA is filed under the name uncultured bacterium. RNAcentral describes it as "partial 16S ribosomal RNA". It matches the Rfam family "Bacterial small subunit ribosomal RNA", at positions 28 to 523 of the family's 1533-position model. The record is from RNAcentral.
GAUGAACGCUAGCGGCAGGCCUAAUACAUGCAAGUCGAACGGGAUCUGAGGGUAGCUUGCUACCCGAUUUGAGAGUGGCGCACGGGUGCGUAACGCGUGAGCAACCUACCCAUAUCAGGGGGAUAGCCCGAAGAAAUUCGGAUUAACACCGCAUAAUAAUACGCUAACACAUGUUGAUGUAUUUAAUUAUUUAUAGGAUAGGGUUGGGGUCGCGGGACAUUAGCUAGUUGGUAAGGUAACGGCUUACCAAGGCGACGAUGUCUAGGGGCUCUGAGAGGAGAAUCCCCCACACUGGUACUGAGACACGGACCAGACUCCUACGGGAGGCAGCAGUAAGGAAUAUUGGUCAAUGGGCGCAAGCCUGAACCAGCCAUGCCGCGUGCAGGAUGACUGCCCUAUGGGUUGUAAACUGCUUUUGUUAGGGAAUAAACCUUCUUACGUGUAAGGAGCUGAAUGUACCUAAAGAAUAAGGAUCGGCUAACUCCGUGCCAGCCGCCGCCGUAA